AGAGUCGGCCAGGCGGCCGCGUCACCCGGUCCCCGGGUGCCGAGGAACGUCCGGGCUCCGCAGGGCAGGGUGGUGGGUAACGCCCACCCGGGGUGACCCGCGGGACAGUGCCACAGAAAGCAGACCGCCCCCGCACUCGUGCGGGGGUAAGGGUGAAACGGUGGGGUAAGAGCCCACCAGCGCCACGGGUGACCGUGGCGGCUCGGCAAACCCCACCUGGAGCAAGACCAGACAGCAGGCGUUCGAGGGCGGCCCGUCCGAAGCCUGCGGGUAGGUCGCUGGAGGCGUGCGGCAACGUACGUCGUAGAUGGAUGGUCGCCACCGGCGGGAGACCGCCGGGACAGAACCCGGCGUAUCGGCCGACUCUUCCG
This 371-nucleotide RNase P RNA is filed under the name Actinomycetales bacterium JB111. RNAcentral describes it as "Bacterial RNase P class A". It matches the Rfam family "Bacterial RNase P class A". From Rfam's summary of the family: Ribonuclease P (RNase P) is a ubiquitous endoribonuclease, found in archaea, bacteria and eukarya as well as chloroplasts and mitochondria. Its best characterised activity is the generation of mature 5'-ends of tRNAs by cleaving the 5'-leader elements of precursor-tRNAs. Cellular RNase Ps are ribonucleoproteins. Lineage: Bacteria; Bacillati; Actinomycetota; Actinomycetes; Actinomycetales. RNAcentral also lists the same sequence under 1 other name. The record is from Rfam by way of RNAcentral.